This is a long non-coding RNA of Homo sapiens (human), 8492 nucleotides long. RefSeq lists it as uncharacterized. Lineage: Eukaryota; Metazoa; Chordata; Mammalia; Primates; Hominidae. The transcript has 4 exons. The record is from RefSeq and is a predicted model, not a curated record.
CUGUCUUAACCUCCUGAAAUCGACAGACUAGGAAAGAGAAGACAUUGGUUACAUAAUCACACAAGCAGAUGUUCAAGGCUACUGUUGGUGGUGCUGAAAUGUAGCAAUCUCUUGACAGUUUAGUGAGCUCAUGACCAGAGGAUCUGUCUUAUGCAAAGGUCAGAGAAGGCUUCCCUGAUAAAGGAAGGUCAUCCAAGAUGUGCAAAGAGUAGCAAAAAAUUUCGGUCGCCAGGCAUAAACAUUUCCCACAGAGACUGAACUGGGGCAGUCUGUCUUCUUGUUUCAGCACUCAUAAGGUGUUACACCACAGUGAACUUUUAGUGCUGGCUUCCGUCUCAGCAUCUGCUUCCCAGAGAAAUCAAUGAGAAUGAUCUCUUAUCCUAUCAAGGAUCAUUUUACCUCCUUCUCACCAAAUGUUACACAUCAGUGAGCAGCACUGCCUAGGAGAUAACAGGAAGCCGGGUUUCACAGCAGCCAUCCUAACCAACUAAUUCUGUGAUGAUUGAGAGACUGUGAGUGACCCGAUUGGCCAGACCCUUACUGAACCCAACUGACAACUGUGUCCUGAUUAAAGGGGAAUGAAAUUUGUUUUCACAAUCCCAUAUAGACCUAUAAACUUGUCCUGACCUGUCAAGAGUGCCAGUUUUCAAACUGCCAUUAGCAAACCACUGUGAAACCACCCACAAAAGCCUUACAUUUUAGGCUUUUCAUUUUAUGUUUACUAUGAAACAUUAAAGAAUGCAUGAAUAUAGAAAUGGAAAUUGGUCCCUUUUCACCGAUCACAAACUUUGUACCUCAAUUCUUAAAGUCAGGGAUGUUUAACUCAGCCAGCCACCUAGCUAGGGUCUGUAACAAACAGUUGGUUAUUUUUCACCCUUUGUCUACUCAAAAUUAAGAAAGUAAAGACGAUAAAAACAAUAUUCUACAGAAAAAAAAGACAAAUGUUAAAAAAGUAAUAAAAGAGAACUUUCUUUCAUAUUCAUGUGAGAAGGAUAGAUGUUUAGAAAUAAAGAAUAAAAUUUGUGUGAGGGAUGCCUCUUGCAUUUUAAGAAUUAGAAGAGGUGAUUGGUAAAACUGUAGACAUGGACGAGCUGGUUUUCCAAGGCACGGGAUCAGCUACAAGUACAUAGAAAAGGUCCCUCAUAUAAAAACAAUUAUGUCAAGGUGAAUUUGUGUGUAUUAUAUAUGUACUAAAUGAUGUGUACAUGCAACUGGUUGUUACAGGAAAAAGGAAAAACAGAAAAAAACUGAAAAAAUUACAUGAAAAAAAUGUAUCAAGAACCCACAGUAGUUGUAAAUAGCAUGAUACUGUUAUUGAGUACCUGAAAUCAAUUGCAGAUUGACAUGAGGAGGAGCUCAAUGUAACUUCUCCCAGAGAUGAUCACAGAACUUAAAGAGGCUGAAUUCAUAGAACAGCUUCUGUGUAGAAGUCACUCUAUAGUUCCUCCCAGAGGAGGGGACUGACUUUUCAAUUUGUCCAUUGGGCCAUGCUCGGACCACAGUACUUGAAACAGAACCUUAGGAAAAUGCAUCAUAUUUUAAUUCUGAACCAAGAGUUGGCUCAUUUUUAAAGAUACCAUGCUUAGUUUUCAUUUAUUCAGAUUUAGGUAAAGGGUUCAAUAUUCAGGUCAGGAUUUGAAAUGGGCAUCAGGAAGGUGCCCUUAGGUGAGGAAGAUUUGUGAUGUGGGCAACUUCUUGCUAAUAAAAGCCUUCAGUUCAACCUGUACUGGUUCAAGAACUUCUGAAGUUUUACAGAGGCUUGCCUGGAAUCUGGGAUGAGGGCCUGGGGUUGAGGUCAGGCAGCUUCGUGAACGGAGAAGUGUUGUGCUAAUGGGGUUGCUUGAGGGAGGACAAUGAUAUCCACCUUUUUUCAAUAUUUUGCCUAAGGCCACCCUGGCCCUGCCAUUCAAAAUCACCUUUUCUGUCAUUUUGGCGUUUGUGGUACAUUGCAGAACCCUGACUUAGGCCAGGAGGCCAUUUAGGAAAUUAUUCCUGACAUUUUGUUUUAAAUUAAUAAAAUACAUAAAAUAGGGUUCCUUGUAAUAGAUCUCACACAUCAAGCAUAAGUAGAUCGCAUUAUUUAUUUUUAAAUGACAUAUGCUGUAGCUCAGUUUUGUAGAAUUCAAGAAUAUACUUCAUCUUUUGUGUAGGUAAUUUCAUUCAAUUUCCCAGUCCCCUCUUUCAUUUUGGAGAAAUAAAAUUUGUGUUUUAUGUCUAUAUACACUCUCCAAUGGGGCAAUUCAAAAAUAAAAGUGCAUCCUUAACACUGCAUUUCUUUGCUUUUGGCCUGCACUAGAACUUUUCCCUCAUUUCAAUGUAGCUUUUGUAUGGGUGAAUGCAAUAAAAAAGGUAAUAAACUUAAUAAAUGGUUCAAUUGCAUGAGUGCACCUGUGUGUUACCUUCAUCCUCAUUAUCCAUUUCCUCAGACAUUGUCCAUUACCUCGUGUUGGUCACAGAACCCUAUUGUAAGUCUAAUACAUAGUGCAAUAAAAAUAAAUAAUCUGAGAAAAUAUUACAGUGCAAACUGAAAAUAGUUUUGUUGUAAAUUUAUGCACAUUUUUAUCCACUCUGCUAAGUACAAGGAUGCUGUCAGUGUACUGUUCUCUUUAUAUCUCCCAUAGGAGUGAGACCCAAAUCCUUAUUUCUUAUGAGCUUCAUUCAAAUAUAUAUUACAGGGGCUCCAUGCCCGUGGUUGUUUUCUCAGUAGAAUUCCUGAAAACUGAUUCAGACAAUAGUGUGUGCGUGUGUGCGCAGGUAUGUAAAAAUGUGAUGUCCGAGAUGACCCUCUAAAUCCAUGCCUACGUACUCACAGAAAAAUAGAAAAUAGUAGGUAUUUUAUUCAAGCAAUUCAGGCACUAAAUGCAUAUUUGCCCUGAUAUCUGUAGAUACGAAAAAAACUGUAUUCUGCUUGAAACUUUUGAAUAAUAGAUAUAUUUUCAAACUGAGCUGACUGUGUGAACUUCAAAUUUUUGUGGGUUUAUAAAGGGCAGAGUUUCCUAGGAUGUUUACUGCUAAAUUGCAUAUCACGUAUUGGCAUGAUAUGAAGAACGGACUCACCUCUCAUGCCUUGCUAGUUUAAAAUACUUUACAUGCUUUUAGCCAAAGAUAAUUUUAAAACCAAAUAUGCCCUCUAAUUCGUAGAUGCAAAACUGUGUUUUCCAGCUCUCUUUUACACAGGGUCUGUUGGCAGCUGCGUGAUAGUAUACUCAUUAAUAUCUUUGACAGUUCAUAGUUGUCAAUCACACCAGAUUUUCACAAGCUGCUUACAUGGCCUGAGAAAUGCACAGAAAUGAAGAGGUGAUCCCAGACUGACAGAUCAUUUCAGGUGGCUUGAGUAGACUUUAAUUGACUCUUGGUUUGCUGUCUAUACUGCUCUCCAAGGAAUGCACGAAUUAAUGAAGCUACUUAAUAAAAAUCUUGGCUAGAUCUUAUCUGUUUCUGCCACUAACCAAUAGAGCAUAUUUACACUACACAUAUUUUACAUCCAGGCAUUCAGUUUUUGGAUUGCUUGUGUAGAGAACAUGAUUUACUCCCCCUUUACAAAAUUUUAGUUCUGUUAACUAUAAACAGGACAGUGGGUAGCCAGGACAAUGAAUAACCUCUGCAAACAACGAAAAUAUAAAGACAAUGUCCACAUGUAUAGGAAAUAGCACAUACAAAGUGAAAUUUAAAGUAGGAAAUAUGUAGACAAUUUCCCAGUAAGUUCAAGUAAUCUCUAUUCUGAUUUAGAGGUAAAAACUCAUUCUAACUUUUAGGGGGAAAAUGCUUCUCUCCAACCUUCUUUUGGGAUAUUUAAAACUAUUUUAUUGGCAAUAAAAACUGCCUCUUUUGUAGGAAAAUGCAUAAUAUUUUAAUUCGGAACCAAGAUUUGGGUCAUUUUUAGAGAUACCAUGGUAGGCAUACAAGUGCAGAGUCUAGUGUACUGGUCUCUGCACUGAGUACCAAGCACACAUUAGUCCUUGCUUAUCUGUCCAACCCUACAGAGUAAAGAUCAUUGCUCUCAUUUUUCAGAUGAGGACCUUUAUACUUAGACAAAUGAAAUGACUGGACCAAGUCCAUAAAUGUAGUGGUUGGUAGACAAAGGACACAAACCCAAGCUGUUUGGAUCUCAAACUCUUGAUCUUUGCCGGGGUAUCAUGGUGCCUCCUGAAGUCUUUUCAGUCAAGGUAAAAACCAUCGGUUUCAUUUCUUGAGGGAGUGCUCUUGCUUGAAGGGUUUACCGGCCACUGCUUUUUGCUCUGUGUGGCUGCUUUGUGCCUUUCAGGUUUGAUUUCCUAUAUUUUAGUUCCUCUUCGUUUCACCAAGUUAAAGUACAGCUCUAAUUACAAUGACUACAUUACUACAUCAAUUUCUAGAUGUAAAAGGCAUCCUUAUAAAUGUUCAUAAAUACUUCUGACUUUCAAAAUAAUGCAAAGCGAUGGAACAUAGUUAAUGCUUCAUUAGCUAAAUGCUAUGCAAAAUUUGUUAUUAGGCUGUCCUGAGAACAUUUUUUGGAGCAAAUUACCUAUCAGCAUUUUAUUUGAUAACUCUAAAAUGAAUUUUCUGCAGUAAGCUAUGAUGUUGCCAAAAUAUGUAGAAAAUUUGUGCUCAACAUUAUUAAAUAUUUGAAUUAACACAUCAUAAUCUCCAUAUAUAUUUCUUUUAAUAUUUUCUAUGAAUAAAUGUUUGCAUAUCACAUUAUUUUUAUGAAUGCAUGCAAUUAUAGGUUAGUAAACAAUAAACAUUUUAGCUGGCUUUUUCUAUUCCUUUAAUCAAAACAAAACAAAUAGCAUAAAAUAAUGUUCAUUGAAUGUUAAAACUGCAGAGGAAAUAGUUUUCUCUCUCUAUUAUGAUUCUUCCUUGAUUGAAGACAAUCAUUGUGAACAAUAAUUUUCAAUGUACUACACUAUGAGUAUAGCAGGUAUAAGACAUUUAACUGCUCAUAAAUAUUGCUUAAUAAUGUUAUGUACAGGAGUAAAUGAAUCCACUGGGGAAUAAACCUCUAUUGAUAAGCUAUCUUAUUUAUGUUUGUAUGCAUAAUUAUUCUGCCCUUUUCUCAAACUUUUAAACACCUUCAAACACCAGUAAACCUCUAAAAAUACACCAUCUUAUUUACGUGUGUAUGCAUAAUACUUCUACCCUAUUCUCAAACUAAAACUUCAAACACCAAGCCUGAUAUUUUGAAUGCAAAGAGCCCUUAAUAAACACUUCGUGAAGUGAAUUGAUUCUGAAACUACUUUGUGAUGUGUUUGGAAUCGUUUUUGAAAGAGUAUUCUAAAAAAAUCUUCUCCCUGUAGCAUGACCCUCACUCUAUGAGUUUUAUAACUGUAUCUAUUUGCAGCAUGUGCUAUAUCAUAUUACCCUUUUGGAGACUUUUAAAAUGUGACUUAAUUUGGCCUCUGAUAAGUACUACAGUAAAGAAAUCCUUUUAAUUCUAUUCAUUUAUUUCCCAAGCAUAAAUGAACACAGAAUCUCUUAAAGUCUUCAGAUCUUAAAGUUUACUAGAACUAGAAUUCCAGGUAACUCGGUAUAAGAACUGUUGUUUAAGAAUUAAAUUCCCUGAAAAUAAAGUUCCUGAUAUUACUUUAUUUACAUUCAUUUGUCUCUUAAUGGAUUAUAAUUUUAAUCCAUGGCUUAAAUCAGGAUCUUCUGUUAUUUGUGAUUGAGGUAACAGAACUUUACAAUGCUAUGAGAGAAUAAAUGUGAUUUGGAAAUGCACCAGUUCUCUUCAUAUUAUCAUGACUAAGUUUUGUUAUAAAUUUUCAAUAAUAAAUGUCAGUGCUAAGAUGAAAAUGAACAUAAUAAGAGCAUUGCUUCUUUGAAAUUUUUAAAAUGUGUCUUAAGCCAUACAUUCAAAGUGCUGUCAUACUUUUAGCAAUGAAUAAAAAUUAAAGACAUGUAUCUACUCACAGAGUGCUCCCUUUCUUUUUUGUAAAAUCUCUUUACUUUUUAUGAGAUCAAAACUAUUGCUAGAAACUACUCCGGAUGAAAUUGCUUCUUAUUAUAAUUUGUUCUUGAUUCAAAAACUUUAAGUAACUGGAGGAUAUAUUAGCUUCUAAUAAUGGUUGUAAAUGUUGCUUAAACAUAUUAAAAUGCAUACAUUGGAUGUUUCUUUCUGAAUGUGACUUAGAGGAAGAAUGAUAGAUUUGACAGUGCAAGAGUUUUGGAAUCAGAGACCUGGGUUUGAAUCUAGCUUUGCCUCAAGAUUAGACAAAGUUGGGCAUCAGACUUUGCCUAAUCCUGUGUCAAAGCUAAGUCUUAGUUUGUGUAUAAACUUGGUGUAUGUGUAGUCUUAGGUUAUAAGCUGUGAGUCUUAGGUCAUAUAUAAUUAAUUUCACUAAAUGUCAUUUUGUAAAUCUUUAAAAUGGUUGUGCAACAAGAUAUGUGUGGAAGCCACUUUAUCUGUUGUGACUAGACAUUGGAUCAAUAUUUUUCUCUGAUCUCCUAGAGGAAAAGCAAUCCCAAUAUUUUUGUAAAUCUCUAUUAUAAGCUGAGUUGGGUACCUGCAAAGUUUAUAUGCUGACAUCCUAAUCCCUGGUACCUCAAGAUGCAACCUUAUUUUAAAACAUAACUUUUUAAAGAGAUAAUUAAGUUAAAGCGAGGUCAUUAUGGCUGGGUCCCUAAUCUAAUGGGACUUGUGUCCUGAUAGAAGAGCAUAUUUGCACACAGACACAUAGAGAGCAGAGGUUAAUGGAAAACACGGAGAAGAUAGCCAUCUGCAAUUCAGGGAAAGAGGCCUGGAACCAAUCUUUCUCUCUCAGUCCUUGGAAGGAACCCACCCUGCCAACACCUUGGUCUUGGACUUCUGUAGCCUCCAGAACUCUGAGACAAUAAAUUCCUGUUGUUUGCAUCCCCUAUUCUGUGGUACUUUGCUACCUCAGCCUUAACAAGCUGCUAUAGUCCCAAAGCUUCCACAUGCAACGGUCACUUCUGGUUCCAAUGCCCUGAUUCCGAUAAAGUAUAUCACCUGUCUUCAUGAAAAUGUCACAUGGAGCCAAGAUGACAGACAACCCUUUUCUCCAUUUUCUGCUUUGUAUUAACUCUCAAAAGGAAAAAGUCCUUAUUCCUUGGUCUCCCGAUAAACCAUUCAUACAGUGUUCGAAGUGAUUCAAGGGUUUAAAAUGAUAGCAACACAAACAACUCAAAAUUGAAAAGUAUACACCUCUCUCAUUGCAAGUCCUUCAUUUACUAUGAAAAUUCCUCACUUGUCACAUUUUUUGUAGGUUCCAGACUCCUACUUACUGUGAUAGUUGAGUCCUUCCCCAAACUCUCCACCAUAAAAAAAAAAAAAAAAAAAAAAAAUCUCAGAUUUUCAUUCUCCUAAGUUAUUUCCCUUUAGAUCUUUCCAAGAACCUGCAUUCCCUGCAUUUUAUUAGGCAGAACAUUUGACAUUCCACUCGGGCCUGGCUUUGCAUUAAUAAAAAUCCACAAGUUUCACACAGAGCAGACAGAAGCACUGGCUGAAACAUAGAAGUGUCAGCCUUACUUUUCUUCUUCCUUCAUCUGUCUUCAUAAGUAGAAAGAGGAGAAAUUUUCAUUUUCCAAUGAUCAUGAAUUAGAUCCUUGUCUUUUAUGUCUGAAUAGCUAUGUGUCUUCUCACAACUACAGAAUACCUUCAUGGGUUGCUGUGAAGACUGAAGGUAAAAUGUCUAUCUCAGUGGCUGACAAUAAAAGGAUGAAAUAUACACUUGAAUCAAUGAAUGAAUAAUUAGUUUAUUGAUUAAUAUAUAGCUUGUCAUUAACAACAAUCUUCAUACUAGAGAUAUCUGAAUCACCAUUGAAGGACUAAGGGGAUAUUUCCAAAAAGAAAAAUACUAGAGGCAAUGAUAACAUCACAGUUCAGAAAAUGGAAGAGCAUGGAUUCCAAGAGAUUAUAAGAAGUUAAAUUAUAAGGUGCAUAAAUGUGUUUAUAACCAUAUUAGUCUGCUCAGGCUGCCAAGAGUCUCACCAUCAGAUAGCUGUUUGCUACACUCUCAGUGUUCUCUUCUGAACAAACUUUCCCAUUUUUUGCUCUAUGGCUGCCUAAGGAUUUUCCAAAUGUCCAAGUUCUGGCUCCUUUAUGCUUAACAAUUGCCUCUUCAAGUCACCUCUCUCCUUUGCAUUUUACUAUAAGCAGUAAGGAGGCACUAAGACAAACUUCCAAUAGCUUAUUUAGAAAUCUCAUCUGCUAAAUAUAUAAUUUUAUCAUUUGUAAGUUCUACCUUUCACCACAUAGCAGAACACAAUUUAGCCAAGAUCUUUGCCACUUUGUAACAAGAGUUGCCUUUUCUCCUGUUUCCUAUAACCUCAUUUCUGUCUAGGACCUCACCAGAAUGACCUUUCACAUGCCAUUUUUUAAAAUUUUAUUUUAUGUUCUGGGAUACAUGUGCAGAAUGUGCAGAUUUCUUACAUAGGUAAUGUGUGCCAUGCUGGUUUGCUGCGCCUACCACCCCAUUGCCUAGGUAUUAAGCCCUGCAUGCAUCAGCCAUUUGUCCUGAUACUCUUCCUCUCCUCACCUCCCCCACCUCCCAAAA